UGGUUGAGAGCUUUCCUUAGAUCUUGAGAGAGGAAGAAAUGAGAUGCUCUUUUGAUUUGAGCUUUUUAUCAUCUAAGCUUUGAUAUGUGCUAAGAGUUCCUUGUAAUUUCAUAUAAUGAAGUAAUCUAAAGAUCAAUUCUGUGAUCCACUUGUUCCCCUCUCCGAAUAUUAAAUUUCUCUUUUUCUGUGAUUCUAGGAGAUACUUAUUGGGGAUUUUUUUAUUGUUCUUUGAUUUGUGCUGCUGUUUCUUUGAAAUAUCUUGAGUGGUUUUGGUGCUAGGACAGGUAAGAAGUGAUCUUCAUCAUAAAUUGAUUGAAUCUUCUCAUGGCACUUUUUAAUCGCAGUUUGUUCCUACAUUUUUUCAUGUUCUAGAGAGUUUUACAAAAUUCGGUGCUUAAAUUCUAAAUAUUUUUUAGAGUUUUCUUUUGGGAUGAUGAGUUGCACAUGUUGUGUGAACUCUGAAGGCUAUGAUUAAAAUUUAAAAUCUCAUCUCAAUCGGACUCUAUUUGAUCAAGUUUGGAUUGAUCUCAAAGAGACGCUUGAGUUUUUUUUUUUUGGUGUGUGAACUUCACCAUGAGCCAACACCUUUGUCCAGCAUUUGUCUUUUUCGCCAGUGUGGACUGUCUAUCUAUUUUUCCAUAGACCGGACAGUCUGGCCGUUUACAUUUCCCAUGACGCAAACGGUCCGGUGCCUCUAUUUUGAGCCUCACUCCAGCAUAGUAUCGAGUAGCCACAUGUUCGGUGGAUGCUUUUCUUGACCAUGCGGACUGUCCGGUGCUUCAAUUUUCUUACUUCAGCACGGCACUAGAGCUUAAUUGUCUAAUGCGUGUUCUUUUCAUAUGGGAGCGAACUGCCCGGUGCUUUGUGUUUUGCUAGGCUUCAGUGUGGUGCUUUGUUUUUUGCUCAGCUUCGGUGCUUCAGAGUCCGGUUGCUACCUUUCCUCGUGUAUCUCAGGUCUACUCUUUUUGCGUUGCUUCGGCUAUGUUCUGAGCCGUUUCUAAUCGUUCCUAGGGCUAAUAUGUC
RNAcentral lists this long non-coding RNA (1023 nucleotides) under Sorghum bicolor (sorghum). Its description in RNAcentral is "long non-coding RNA (SBIC_LNC015560)". Lineage: Eukaryota; Viridiplantae; Streptophyta; Magnoliopsida; Poales; Poaceae. The record is from RNAcentral.